Molecule: ribosomal RNA, 253 nt
Filed under: uncultured bacterium
Lineage: Bacteria
Description: partial 16S ribosomal RNA
Rfam family: Bacterial small subunit ribosomal RNA
Source: RNAcentral
GACAGAGGUCCCGAGCGUUAGGCGGAAUCACUGGGCUUAAAGCGUGUGUAGGCGGAUCUGUAAGUACCUUGUGAAAUCCCACGGCUUAACCGUGGAACUGCUCGGUAUACUGCGGAUCUUGAGCCACCUAGGGGCAACCGGAACAAACGGUGGAGCGGUGAAAUGCGUAGAUAUCAGGAAGAACACCAAUGGCGAAGGCAGCUCUCUGGGACAGUACUGACGCUGAGACGCGAAAGCGUGGGGAGCGAACAGG